Molecule: ribosomal RNA, 289 nt
Filed under: uncultured bacterium
Lineage: Bacteria
Description: partial 16S ribosomal RNA
Rfam family: Bacterial small subunit ribosomal RNA
Source: RNAcentral
GUGGAUUAGAUACCCGGGUAGUCCUAGCUGUAAACGAUGAAUACUGGGUGUUUGCGGUAAUACCGUAAGCGCCGAAGCUAACGCAUUAAGUAUUCCGCCUGGGGAGUACGGUCGCAAGACUAAAACUCAAAGGAAUUGACGGGGACCCGCACAAGCGGUGGAGCAUGUGGUUUAAUUCGAUGCAACGCGAGGAACCUUACCAGGUCUUGGAUCCACUAAAGAUUUCAGAGAUGAGAUUGUGCCUCUUAUGAGGAAUAGUGAGACAGGUGGUGCACGGCCGUCGCCAACU